Molecule: long non-coding RNA, 270 nt
Organism: Suncus etruscus (white-toothed pygmy shrew)
Lineage: Eukaryota; Metazoa; Chordata; Mammalia; Eulipotyphla; Soricidae
Exons: 3
Source: RefSeq, a predicted model, not a curated record
CGUGGGAGUCGGCGGAGUCGCGGGGAUGUUCUGCAUUGCAACUUUAUCAAAAUUUAAUUGAUGUUACAUUUUUUCACUGCAUCUAAGAAAAAUAUGUUUUGAUUCCCAGUGGCUGACAUAUAAAGGAGCUUGUGGAACAUUAGCAAACGUAAUAAAUAAUCGUUAAACCCUAACAAUUCUGAAGAUGGAAUUAUGAAGAUGGCAACUUUUCUAUGUGGCUUUGAAGAAAAGGGGAUAAAGAAUGACAGGCCUGAGGACCAGUUGAGUAAA